UGAAAGAACUCAGCUCCAUCAUUAGAGCAUGAGACUCUUAAUUUCAGGGUCGUGGGUUUGAGUCCCACUCUGGGCGAAA
Non-coding RNA from Podarcis lilfordi (Lilford's wall lizard), 79 nucleotides. Lineage: Eukaryota; Metazoa; Chordata; Lepidosauria; Squamata; Lacertidae. The record is from the annotation of a GenBank genome assembly.